UUGGUUAUAGCUUAUAUCACCUUAAAGCAUAGCUUUGAAGCAGCUAAGAAUUUUAUCCAAA
This 61-nucleotide transfer RNA is filed under the name Gordionus alpestris. RNAcentral describes it as "tRNA-Phe". Lineage: Eukaryota; Metazoa; Nematomorpha; Gordioida; Chordodea; Parachordodidae. The record is from RNAcentral.